Molecule: small RNA, 28 nt
Filed under: Bombyx mori (domestic silkworm)
Lineage: Eukaryota; Metazoa; Arthropoda; Insecta; Lepidoptera; Bombycidae
Description: piRNA piR-bmo-2220355
Source: RNAcentral
UCAAACCAUAAAUCCUAGGUGCAACAGU